AGGCUCAAUUGGGUAUUGUCAGUUUAUUCAAUGUAUCAGCAUUUUUAAAAAGAUUCUGUUCAUUCCAAUAACCUAUUUUAUGUGAAUUUUGCUAUAAUGUAGAAAAAUAACUAAUGCAUCCUUCAACAUAUUUGGAAAAUAUUGAUAGACACUUUUAAAAAUAUUUUCUCAUGAGAAAAUUCAUUUUAAUUUAACUCCCACCCCAUACACACACUUUUUGGGGGUAAGUUGUCAAACAGAUGUUUAGGGCUUAGAGUCUAGGCUCAGCCUUUGAAUGGCAGUCACAAACAUAAGCAGGAGUUGGCAAACUGUGGCUUCAUGUCAGAUCUGAUUACCAUCUGUUUUUAUAAAUAACAUUUUAUUAAAACACAGCCACGCCUGUUCAUUUACCUAUUGUGCUGCGCUGAGCUUGGUUGCUCAGUUGUGUCUGAGUCUUUGUGACCCCAACGACUGUAGCCUGCCAGGCUCGUCUGUCCAUGGGGACUCUCCAAGCCAGAAUACUGGAGUGGGUUGCCAUGUCCUUCUCCAGGGGAUCUUCCCAACCCAGGGAUAAAACCCAGGUCUUCGCACUGCAGGCAGAUUCUUUACCGUCUGAGCCACCAGGGAAGCCCAAGAAUACUGGACUGGGUGGCCUAUCACUUCUCCAGGAAUCUUCCCAAGCCAGAAAUUGAACCAGAGUCCUGCAUUGCAGGUGGAUUCUUUAGCAGCUGAGCUACCUGGAAAGCCCUCAUUGGCUAUUGUCUACUGUCUAUGCCUGCUUUCUUUGCAAUGGCAGAGUUGAGUAGUAAAGAGAGAGAUUGUAUACCUUGCCAAGCUUACGGUAUUUGUUUUCUAGCUUUUUGCCAAAAGAAAAAAAAGUUUGUGAGCUCCUAAUCUAGCAGAUGCAUAUUUCUUAUAUAAAGUCUGUAUUUAAGUUGUAUUUAAAUUAGCCCAUUAUUCUAGGAUGGCCUGAUUAAUAGUGUACAUAAUAAAUUGCUGUUCAAAGAUGGUGAUUUGGUUUUAUGACUGUAAUUCUCUUAUUUAGUUAUUUUAUUUUUUGGCUGUGCUGGGUCUUCUAUGCUGCACAAGAGCUUUCUCUAGUUGCAGUGAGCAGGGGCUAUUCUUUUGCGGUGCAUGGCUUCUUACUGCGGUUGUUUCUCUUGUUGCAGAGCACAGGAUCUAGGUGUGUGGGCUUCAGUAAUUCUGGCUGUGGGCUCUAGAGUGCUGGCUCAGUAGUUGUGGCCGCAUGGGCUUAGUUGCUCCACAGUAUGUGGGAUCUUCCCGGACCAGGUAACAAUCCGGUGUCCUUUGCAUUGCGAGACAGAUUCUUAACCAAUGGACCACAAAGGGAAGCCCCUGUGACUCUAAUUUUGAUCGUUACCAUUUCCCCAAGCCAUGUUAACUUCUCUUAGAUGAAAAUGUUUAUUCUGUAAAAUAGAAUUAUGAAACAGCUAAGCCAGUACCAUGUGUGAGCCAAUGGCAAGACACCACUUACAAUGAAACCCAGUGAAAGCGAGAAGGCUAAUAAAAUUGGGGGAGGGGUUAGAACCAACUGAGUCUCCUUAGUGUAUAUAUUUCACAGCUGUGGUGCUAAGAGACAGAUUGCUUGGAAUGCCAUGGGACGGCUAAGCCAAACAAAAAUGAGAGCA
Long non-coding RNA from Bos taurus (domestic cattle), 1628 nucleotides. Lineage: Eukaryota; Metazoa; Chordata; Mammalia; Artiodactyla; Bovidae. The record is from Ensembl.